This 72-nucleotide transfer RNA is filed under the name Heterocephalus glaber (naked mole-rat). It matches the Rfam family "tRNA". From Rfam's summary of the family: Transfer RNA (tRNA) molecules are approximately 80 nucleotides in length. Their secondary structure includes four short double-helical elements and three loops (D, anti-codon, and T loops). The record is from Rfam by way of RNAcentral. Lineage: Eukaryota; Metazoa; Chordata; Mammalia; Rodentia; Bathyergidae.
CCGGAUUUAGCUCAGUGGUACAGCGCCUGCCUUGCAUGCACAAGAUCCUGAGUUUGAUCCUCAGUACCAGGA